AGGAGUGGUGUAGUGGUAUCACAUCUUCCUUACCCGCAGAAGGCCCCGGGUUCGACUCCCGGCUCC
RNAcentral lists this transfer RNA (66 nucleotides) under Climacostomum virens. It matches the Rfam family "tRNA". Rfam says of the family: Transfer RNA (tRNA) molecules are approximately 80 nucleotides in length. The record is from RNAcentral. Lineage: Eukaryota; Ciliophora; Heterotrichea; Heterotrichida; Climacostomidae.